UGAUUCUGAGGACUGUUAAACCCAGGGCCAAGGAAAUUACCUUCUUUCCGUUGUCUGAUUUUUCUACAAUUGAUUGGGGAUGGAACAAGAUGGUACAUAAAUAAGGUCUUCAUUUACUUUCUUCAAAACAUUCUCCAAAGCAGUCGCAUGAUUUAUAUGCUGGAAGCUGCCAUCAACAUGACAUGGAAAAUUGCACCAGGCUGGUAGCCUGAAGUCAAUUUCAGAAUAGUUGAGGAUGCUACUGGCUGAUAUAUUUGCAGGGUACACAAAAUUCACUACAGAAGCUCCCAGGUAUGGCCUGCAUCUCUGUUACUCCACUUGAAGCUGUGCCACUUCACAGAGAAACAGCCCAAAGACAGACAUUUCGAAAGUGAGAACUUGACUGUAACACAGUGAAGAGAGCAUAUAUCUUGAGAGAAAACCUGCC
This is a long non-coding RNA of Alligator sinensis (Chinese alligator), 427 nucleotides long. RefSeq lists it as uncharacterized. The transcript has 4 exons. The record is from RefSeq and is a predicted model, not a curated record. Lineage: Eukaryota; Metazoa; Chordata; Crocodylia; Alligatoridae.